UCAACAGAUGUUUCAUGGGCUAUGAUUCUAUUAACAAUAUGUGGACAGCAGUAGCAUUAUAUGAUACAAUUCUUAUAACAGAUGUGUUUGUACGUAGUGUAGGAUAAAAGUGUAAUUCAAUGCCUUUGAACAAUGAGGGGUUGUAUAAUUCGGUGCCUUAAUGUCUGUGGAGAAGCAACGCCUCUAUUGUUACACAUAUGUCUGACGACCAUGGCACCCCCCGGCUCCAUGUUGAUUAUGGGGGAGCUGUCUAUGGAAGACACAGGCUGUUUGAUGGCUCCCUGGUACUAUACAGAGUGAUUUGAUGUGUGUGUGUGUGUGUGUGUGUGUGUGUGUGUGUGUGUGUGUGUGUGUGUGUGUGUGUGUGUGAGAGACGUAAUAAUGUGCUUUUUAUAUUCUAUCCCACUAUAUUACGAAAACCGACUUUGGUUCACAUUGACAAUAUAUUAGGUGAUAUCAUGAUACUAUUAAGAUAGUUUAGUAAUUUUUCAUCCGUAUUUGGAUCAACUUUAUUUAUCAGUAUAAGGUCUGGCGAGUGGGCGUAGGCCUGUGGUACCUACGUGUGCGUGGGUCCAGUACCUAUUGGACAGGCGUCUAUGACGUCGGGGCCUUAGGUGCGAAUGAUGCAGAUAGGGCGUCUAUUAGGCAUAAAUAUGCGGGGUCCCUUGAUACGGGAGCGUACGACCUCCGACCCAGACGUUAGCCACACUAUUCUAAGUUAGUAAACGCGUCGUAGCAGCUGGAAGAAAAAAAAAACAUCGAUCCGUCCUGCACAACUAUGCCGACUGACUGUAAGUAUUCGUAUGUGUGUAUCAUGAUUAUAUUAUGACUAUGUCUAUGUGAAUCAGCUGUUUAUAUCUGACCGAAGCAGCGAUUACUUCACAGCGAAUUGCGGUGCCGGAGGCGAGAGCGUGAAACAGCAGCAGGGUCCACGUGGAAAUUUGCAGGAUAUUCGGCUCAACAGACCGAUUCUAGCAGACCAGACUAAUGUGCUGACAAGCGGUAGUUUUGUACCUAUCGAGGCCAAUGUCAUUCAGCGCCCCUCCGGACGGCUCAACAGACCGAUUCUAGCAGACCAGACUAAUGUGCUGACAAGCGGUAGUUUUGGUAAG
Molecule: long non-coding RNA, 1112 nt
Organism: Gadus morhua (Atlantic cod)
Lineage: Eukaryota; Metazoa; Chordata; Actinopteri; Gadiformes; Gadidae
Exons: 3
Source: RefSeq, a predicted model, not a curated record